RNAcentral lists this ribosomal RNA (460 nucleotides) under uncultured bacterium. Its description in RNAcentral is "partial 16S ribosomal RNA". It matches the Rfam family "Bacterial small subunit ribosomal RNA", at positions 338 to 795 of the family's 1533-position model. The record is from RNAcentral.
CCUACGGGUGGCAGCAGUGAGGAAUAUUGGUCAAUGGACGAGAGUCUGAACCAGCCACGUAGCUUGAAGGAUGACUUCCCUAUGGGUUGUAAACUUCUUUUAUAUGGUAAUAAAAUGUUCCACGUUUGGGAUUUUGUAUGUACCAUAUGAAUAAGGAUCGUCUAACUCCGUUCCAGCAGCCGCGGUAAUACGGAGGAUCCGAGCGUUAUCCGGAUUUAGUGGGUUUAAAGGGAGCGUAGGUGGAUUGUUAAGUCAGUUGUGAAAGUUUGCGGCUCAACCGUAAAAUUGCAGUUGAAACUGGCAGUCUUGAGUACAGUAGAGGUGGGCGGAAUUCGUGGUGUAGCGGUGAAAUGCGUAGAUAUCACGAAGAACUCCGAUUGCGAAGGCAGUUCACUGGACUGCAACUGACACUGAGGCUCGAAAGUGUGGGUAUCAAACAGGAUUAGAUACCCCAGUAGUC